This 1343-nucleotide ribosomal RNA is filed under the name uncultured bacterium. Its description in RNAcentral is "16S ribosomal RNA". It matches the Rfam family "Bacterial small subunit ribosomal RNA", at positions 28 to 1378 of the family's 1533-position model. The record is from RNAcentral.
GACGAACGCUGGCGGCGUGCUUAACACAUGCAAGUCGAACGGAAAGGCCCUGCUUUUGUGGGGUGCUCGAGUGGCGAACGGGUGAGUAACACGUGAGUAACCUGCCCUUGACUUUGGGAUAACUUCAGGAAACUGGGGCUAAUACCGGAUAGGAGCUCCUGCUGCAUGGUGGGGGUUGGAAAGUUUCGGCGGUUGGGGAUGGACUCGCGGCUUAUCAGCUUGUUGGUGGGGUAGUGGCUUACCAAGGCUUUGACGGGUAGCCGGCCUGAGAGGGUGACCGGCCACAUUGGGACUGAGAUACGGCCCAGACUCCUACGGGAGGCAGCAGUGGGGAAUAUUGCACAAUGGGCGGAAGCCUGAUGCAGCAACGCCGCGUGCGGGAUGACGGCCUUCGGGUUGUAAACCGCUUUCGCCUGUGACGAAGCGUGAGUGACGGUAAUGGGUAAAGAAGCACCGGCUAACUACGUGCCAGCAGCCGCGGUGAUACGUAGGGUGCGAGCGUUGUCCGGAUUUAUUGGGCGUAAAGGGCUCGUAGGUGGUUGAUCGCGUCGGAAGUGUAAUCUUGGGGCUUAACCCUGAGCGUGCUUUCGAUACGGGCUGACUUGAGGAAGGUAGGGGAGAAUGGAAUUCCUGGUGGAGCGGUGGAAUGCGCAGAUAUCAGGAGGAACACCAGUGGCGAAGGCGGUUCUCUGGGCUUUUCCUGACGCUGAGGAGCGAAUGCGUGGGGAGCGAACAGGCUUAGAUACCCUGGUAGUCCACGCUGUAAACGGUGGGUACUAGGUGUGGGGUCCAUUCCACGGGUUCCGUGCCGUAGCUAACGCUUUAAGUACCCCGCCUGGGGAGUACGGCCGCAAGGCUAAAACUCAAAGGAAUUGACGGGGCCCCGCACAAGCGGCGGAGCAUGCGGAUUAAUUCGAUGCAACGCGUAGAACCUUACCUGGGUUUGACAUGGAUCGGGAGUGCUCAGAGAUGGGUGUGCCUCUUUUGGGGUCGGUUCACAGGUGGUGCAUGGCUGUCGUCAGCUCGUGUCGUGAGAUGUUGGGUUAAGUCCCGCAACGAGCGCAACCCUUGUUCACUGUUGCCAGCACGUUAUGGUGGGGACUCAGUGGAGACCGCCGGGGUCAACUCGGAGGAAGGUGGGGAUGACGUCAAGUCAUCGUGCCCCUUAUGUCCAGGGCUUCACGCAUGCUACAAUGGCUGGUACAGAGAGUGGCGAGCCUGUGAGGGUGAGCGAAUCUCGGAAAGCCGGUCUCAGUUCGGAUUGGGGUCUGCAACUCGACCUCAUGAAGUCGGAGUCGCUAGUAAUCGCAGAUCAGCAACGCUGCGGUGAAUACGUUCCCGGG